UUCUGGCUCAGGAUGAACGCUAGCUACAGGCUUAACACAUGCAAGUCGAGGGGCAGCAUGGCCUUAGCUUGCUAAGGCCGAUGGCGACCGGCGCACGGGUGAGUAACGCGUAUCCAACCUUCCCCUUAGUAGGGCAUAGCCCGGCGAAAGUCGGAUUAACACCCUAUGUUUUCCGUUGCGGGCAUCUAAUAUGGAACAAAGAUUUAUCGCUAAGGGAUGGGGAUGCGUCUGAUUAGGUAGUAGGCGGGGUAACGGCCCACCUAGCCCUCGAUCAGUAGGGGUUCUGAGAGGAAGGUCCCCCACAUUGGAACUGAGACACGGUCCAAACUCCUACGGGAGGCAGCAGUGAGGAAUAUUGGUCAAUGGCCGAGAGGCUGAACCAGCCAAGUAGCGUGCAAGGAUGACGGCCCUAUGGGUUGUAAACUGCUUUUAUGCGGGGAUAAAGUCGCCCACGUGUGGGUGUUUGCAGGUACCGCAUGAAUAAGGACCGGCUAAUUCCGUGCCAGCAGCAGC
This 513-nucleotide ribosomal RNA is filed under the name uncultured bacterium. Its description in RNAcentral is "bacterial SSU rRNA". It matches the Rfam family "Bacterial small subunit ribosomal RNA", at positions 17 to 518 of the family's 1533-position model. The record is from RNAcentral.